UAACCUGCCCAAGAGAUCGGGAUAACACCUGGAAACAGAUGCUAAUACCGGAUAACAACAGAUGAUGCCUAUCAACUGUUUAAAAGAUGGUUCUGCUAUCACUCUUGGAUGGACCUGCGGUGCAUUAGCUAGUUGGUAAGGUAACGGCUUACCAAGGCGAUGAUGCAUAGCCGAGUUGAGAGACUGAUCGGCCACAUUGGGACUGAGACACGGCCCAAACUCCUACGGGAGGCAGCAGGC
Molecule: ribosomal RNA, 240 nt
Filed under: uncultured Lactobacillus sp.
Lineage: Bacteria; Bacillati; Bacillota; Bacilli; Lactobacillales; Lactobacillaceae
Description: partial 16S ribosomal RNA
Rfam family: Bacterial small subunit ribosomal RNA
Source: RNAcentral